GACGUAGGAUGCGAGCGUUGUCCGGAUUUAUUGGGCGUAAAGAGUUCGUAGGCGGUUUGUUAAGUCUGGUGUUAAAGACCGAGGCCCAACCUCGGAAAUGCACUGGAUACUGGCAGACUGGAGUGCAGUAGAGGCGAGUGGAAUUCCCAGUGUAGCGGUGAAAUGCGUAGAUAUCGGAAGGAACACCAGUGGCGAAAGCGGCUUCCUGGUCCAGCACCGACGUUCAGGCACGAAAGCGUGGGGAGCAAACAGG
This 253-nucleotide ribosomal RNA is filed under the name uncultured bacterium. RNAcentral's name for it is "partial 16S ribosomal RNA". It matches the Rfam family "Bacterial small subunit ribosomal RNA", at positions 524 to 776 of the family's 1533-position model. The record is from RNAcentral.